CUGGAAAGUCUUUGGGAGUUUCUGCAGGACUCGCUGGCCCAGCCCUGGGCCCUGGAGGAUGAGGGGGUGCUCAGAUACCUUCAGGCCUCCAUGGCCCAGCUCUGAAGGAUGAAGUGUGACCUGUCCCCUUCAGGAAGCAGAUGGGCUGGCCUCCUCAGGCCCGGACACCCAACCUGAGCAGCCUGGACCUUCUCCAGCCAGGCCAUCCUCAAGGCUGAGGAGCCACUGCAGGAGGGAAGCUCCCAGAACCCACAGCUGCACACCCGUGUCCAGGAACUCCAGGGGCUCUGGUUCUGGCCUGUCUGCCCCCAGCCCAGGACCUGUCGCUGGCCCGACUGCCCCCACAGCAUGGAAUUCCCUCCCCAUCCUCCUGGUGAAUCAGGAGGGUAUAUGCAGGGGGCCCCCAGACAUGGGCUUGAAGCCAGAACAUUGGGUCCCUUUCCCUUUAGGGCCACCCCAGAGGCCACACGACAGAUCAGGCCCUGGAACCCCCUGGACUCCUGUCACGGGGUCCACUCAGCCCAUUAAAGAUGAUGCAGUAGGGAUCAGGAUACCUUCCUGCCUUGUGGCCACUGCAGCUCAUGCCCCUCGUUGGGCAGUGACAGCUAGGACAGAGCCAAGGCAGUGCUGAGCCAGCUGCCCCAAGGCCCUGCACAUGCCUAGGACUCUCUGACCUCCAUGUCCACAGGGAAGCUAGAUGCUCAUGAGUCUCUGGAACAGAGCAUGAUGGUGAGUGUGGAGGCCCUGAGGCUCUGGCCAGCCGGUACCACGCCCUGCCUCAUCUCACUGUCCUUCCUGGAAAGCAGCACCCCCCGAUCCCCCGGCCAGGACACAAGUCCCUGACCCAGAGGGGCCUGGGCUGGCCUGGUCUGGGCUCUAGGGGUACAGAGUUGACUUGAACUUGGCCACAACCAGAAUGAAGACUGACGGGACUGAGCCCCCCAUCGCCCGGAACAGUCCUGGAUUCUGUCCCAAGGCUGGGCGAGCCCUCUCAGGGCAGUAUGUGGCCUCCUGGGGCCUGAGCAUGCCUCACAGAUCCAGGUUGUUGACCUAGGGCAGCGCUGGGAAUAACAGGGCACCCAGCCAAGGGGUAGCAGGGGUGGGCCCCACCCUCACCCACACUAGGAGGCAGGUUCCUCCACAUGCUGGGUCUCGAGCAGUCAGUCACCUGGCACCAAUGGGCCAGAGGCUGGGGCCCAGCAGACAUGAUGGGACCCUGCUUGGGAAACCCAAAGCUGCAGGUCCAGGUCAGGUCUGCUGUCCUCAGAACUGCCUUUCAGGGCCCCAACCUCAGGAAAUGUGCCCCCACCCAGAGUCAGCAAAGGCUCCAAGGUACAGGACUCUAGCACCCGCACCCCCGUGUGUUUUUGGAUUUCCUCUAAAGGACAAUAAGGUCUCCCUUCCCAGGGGAAGGCACACACCCUUGGCCCCUGUUUGCUGUUGAAAGUUCAAUAAAGUAUGUUAAAAUGCAAA
Molecule: long non-coding RNA, 1473 nt
Organism: Canis lupus familiaris (dog)
Lineage: Eukaryota; Metazoa; Chordata; Mammalia; Carnivora; Canidae
Exons: 2
Source: RefSeq, a predicted model, not a curated record